RNAcentral lists this ribosomal RNA (500 nucleotides) under uncultured bacterium. RNAcentral describes it as "partial 16S ribosomal RNA". It matches the Rfam family "Bacterial small subunit ribosomal RNA", at positions 30 to 523 of the family's 1533-position model. The record is from RNAcentral.
AUUGAACGCUGGCGGCAGGCCUAACACAUGCAAGUCGAGCGGAUGACGGGAGCUUGCUCCUUGAUUCAGCGGCGGACGGGUGAGUAAUGCCUAGGAAUCUGCCUGGUAGUGGGGGACAACGUUUCGAAAGGAACGCUAAUACCGCAUACGUCCUACGGGAGAAAGCAGGGGACCUUCGGGCCUUGCGCUAUCAGAUGAGCCUAGGUCGGAUUAGCUUGUUGGUGAGGUAAUGGCUCACCAAGGCGACGAUCCGUAACUGGUCUGAGAGGAUGAUCGGUCACACUGGAACUGAGACACGGUCCAGACUCCUACGGGAGGCAGCAGUGGGGAAUAUUGGACAAUGGGCGAAAGCCUGAUCCAGCCAUGCCGCGUGUGUGAAGAAGGUCUUCGGAUUGUAAAGCACUUUAAGUUGGGAGGAAGGGCAGUAAGCUAAUACCUUGCUGUUUUGACGUUACCGACAGAAUAAGCACCGGCUAACUCUGUGCCAGCAGCCGCGGUAA